Molecule: non-coding RNA, 1579 nt
Filed under: Cryptosporidium parvum
Lineage: Eukaryota; Apicomplexa; Conoidasida; Eucoccidiorida; Cryptosporidiidae
Source: RNAcentral
AAUUACCGUUUUCUUUAAUAUAAAGAGUAUAAAUAUGAGAGAAUAUUUCUGGGAUGUUCAGGACGAAUAGUGUUAACAUGGGAGAAACGAAGAGUACUGUCAAGAAAGAUUCGAAGGCGCCAAACAUGAGCUUUUCGGUAAGUACAUAGGUGAUUGCAGUAGUUGGGAUAGGGACGAAUGAAAGAAGCAUGAAAGAAUCUUUUUUAAGGAUUUUCCAGAAAGUCUUUCUGGAAGGUAUGAGACUCAGGAAGCAUGACAUUGAAGGGUCCAAAGUAUACUUGCUUUUGAGACUGUAUAUCCAUUGGAGCUUCUUUUUAAAUAAUAUAGUCUUCUUAAUAGAGAGAUAAUAAAUAGAUGUAGCAAUUCCCAGAGAUCCUAAAAUUUUCAGUCUGGGAGUUAAGUUUGUGUUGUAAUUAACAUCAUAUAGCCAUAAAAGUUUGCUUCCUGUAGCUACAGAGUAGAUAAAUAUGCUUAUCAAGAAGUAUUUGAUUUGAGUAGAGAAUCUGAAGUGAUGGAGAACUCCUUUUCCAGUAAUAAACUCCAAAGAUGAAUCCCAAACUCCAAGCAAAAAGAAACAUGAAAAUGAGUAGUAUUUUGCAACGAGGUUAUCCAUAUCGUAGGUAAAUAUACAUGGCGUUACAAAAAGAAAGAAACCGAUGAUUCCAUGAAGAGUUAAUGCAAAUCUAUAGUUAUUCAUUAGAUAUGUGAUUAUAUCCAACAUCCCAAAUAGAGAUAGACAGAAUAUAAAUACCCAACAGAGUUUAAGGUGGUGUGUAAUAUGGAAUGCUCUUCCUAAAUUUAAAACCAUAAUAAAAGAAUGGGCUAGAGUAAAUAGUAUAAAUGUAAAUAAAAGAGUAAAAAACCUGAAUCUUAUUGAAAUUGAGUUAUUUUGAUCAAGAUCUUGGUAUAAUUCUUUUAUAUAGCUUUCUUUACGAACUAAUCCAUUAGACUCAAGCUCCACAUUAUUGUAACAAAGACUACUUUUGACAUUAUUUUCACAAUAAUUUAAUUCAUCAGCUUCAGCUACUACUUCGUGAUUCAUCACUUUGAUCUUAUGCGAAGAACAUAGAAUAGAUAUAAUGAAUGGAAAUAAAGUGAUCUUAAUUGUUGGAAUUGCCAACCAAAAUAUUGACUUGUUUAACAAUUUAGAUCUCACAAAAUUCCGAAUUAUAGUUUGCCUGACAAAUCUAAGGUAUAAUUUAUAAAAUGAAAAUAAUCCAAUAUUAUCGUCAUAUUUCUGGUCAAUAGGUACCCAAUUUGGGAAAUCUGGCAUUAAAUAAGAGGAAAAAGGCAUUACCACAAAUAAUACCACAAAAAACAUUGGUAAAUAUUUUAUUAAAAUUGUAAUGAAUACAUAUCGGAAUUUAAACGGUGUUUUAAAAUAAAAGCUUCUUCCCAAUACAUAGAAGAACAAUAUUAAUGAAAAUGAUAACCACGUCCCAAUAUAUCCCAAUAGAGUUUGAGAAAAGUAUGUAAAAUGGCCAUUUUCUGAGUAGCUAUCAAUAAUUGUAAUUGUCAUCAAAAACAAAAGAGAAAUCGUCUUUAGAUGCCCAUCUGUCAAGCAGUUAACUUUAAAUUC